RNAcentral lists this ribosomal RNA (432 nucleotides) under uncultured soil bacterium. Its description in RNAcentral is "bacterial SSU rRNA". It matches the Rfam family "Bacterial small subunit ribosomal RNA", at positions 26 to 464 of the family's 1533-position model. The record is from RNAcentral.
AGAUUGAACGCUGGCGGCAUGCCUAACACAUGCAAGUCGAACGGGAGUAGCAAUACUCUAGUGGCGGACGGGUGAGGAAUACGUAGGAAUUUGCCCUUAAGUGGGGGAUAACCCGGGGAAACCCGGAUUAAUACCGCAUGACCUCGAAAGAGCAAAGUGGGGGAUCGCAAGACCUCACGCUUUUGGAGAAGCCUACGUCGGAUUAGCUAGUUGGUGAGGUAAUGGCUCACCAAGGCGACGAUCCGUAACUGGUCUGAGAGGAUGAUCAGUCACACCGGAACUGAGACACGGUCCGGACUCCUACGGGAGGCAGCGAGUGGGGAAUAUUGGACAAUGGGCGCAAGCCUGAUCCAGCAAUGCCGCGUGUGGUGAAGGAAGGCCUUGGUUGUAAAGCAACUUUAAGUUGGGAAAGAAAAACUACGCUACUAACAC